UACUUGGUUGAUCCUGCCAAGGAAGCACACUUAGGUCAUAGAUUAAGCCAUGCAAGUGUUAGUUCACGUAACGAAACUGCGAAUAGCUCAUUAAUACGCUCAGAAUCUAUUUGGCGGCGACCAACAGGUCUUAAAUGGAUAGCAGCAGCAACUCUGGUGCUAAUACAUGCGAUUGUUUCUCCAGAUGUGAAUUAUGGAGGAAAA
This 204-nucleotide non-coding RNA is filed under the name Trichomonas vaginalis G3. RNAcentral's name for it is "Eukaryotic small subunit ribosomal RNA". It matches the Rfam family "Eukaryotic small subunit ribosomal RNA", at positions 1 to 206 of the family's 1831-position model. The record is from Rfam by way of RNAcentral. Lineage: Eukaryota; Parabasalia; Trichomonadida; Trichomonadidae.